GCCUUCGUCUGCAGUAUACCAGAAAACCUGAUAUUUGUUAACUGCAGAAUGAUGAUGGAUUUAUGAGGACAACACAAACAUCCAGUCAUCUCGUGGCAGGUGAAAAUCCGUGACCCCACUGGCAAUUCAACCCGAGAGCCCAUGCUCUGGAAGUGAGGACUGAUUAGAGGAGAUAGAGAAGAUCCAAUGAAGAGUGUUUCAUCAUGGGAGCAUUACGGAGAUACCAAAUAAACUCUACAUUAUAAGCGAGGUUACAAGCUUGAGGGGAUGGCCCAGUUACCUCCAAAAUCUUUCAAAAUUGGGGUAAAUGGACAAGGUUCUUGAGGUAUCCGGCCCCUCCUCGAACCUGUUUACUCCAGGUCAUGGUGAGAACAAACAUUGGACAAACGUAGAAGUGAGCUGUUGAGCUAUCAUAAACAGGAUUUAGGAAUAGCCAUUGGAGAUGUUAGGAGUGGAAAUAGGAGAGCAGCUACAUUCUAGAAAAUUUCUAGGCCUACAUUAAAACACCAUAUUCUCAGUACAUGUGGUGAAGGAAUCAUUAAAACACCAUAUUCUCAGUACAUGUGGUGAAGGAAUCACUUCAAGAGACAGUAAGAGCAGUGGUAACAUUGAAUCAUUCAUGUCUGCUGGUGAAGAAGAAUUGAUAGUGAACUGUUUGAAAGAAUAAUAAUAAUAAUAAUAAUAAUAAUAAUAAAGACAGAGGAUGAGAUGGUCAGAUGAAGUUAACCGACACCUCAUGUUCUGUUAUUACCAAGCAACAAACUUAGGAACGAACACAACUGGAUAUAGAU
Schistocerca serialis cubense is the source of this 791-nucleotide long non-coding RNA. RefSeq lists it as uncharacterized. The record is from RefSeq and is a predicted model, not a curated record. NCBI's taxonomy places the organism in Eukaryota, Metazoa, Arthropoda, Insecta, Orthoptera, Acrididae. The transcript is spliced from 4 exons.